RNAcentral lists this ribosomal RNA (492 nucleotides) under uncultured bacterium. Its description in RNAcentral is "partial 16S ribosomal RNA". It matches the Rfam family "Bacterial small subunit ribosomal RNA", at positions 29 to 507 of the family's 1533-position model. The record is from RNAcentral.
AGUGAACGCUGGCGGUAGGCCUAACACAUGCAAGUCGAACGGCAGCACAGUAAGAGCUUGCUCUUACGGGUGGCGAGUGGCGGACGGGUGAGGAAUACAUCGGAAUCUACUUUUUCGUGGGGGAUAACGUAGGGAAACUUACGCUAAUACCGCAUACGACCUACGGGUGAAAGCAGGGGAUCUUCGGACCUUGCGCGAUUGAAUGAGCCGAUGUCGGAUUAGCUAGUUGGCGGGGUAAAGGCCCACCAAGGCGGCGAUCCGUAGCUGGUCUGAGAGGAUGAUCAGCGACACUGGAACUGAGACACGGUCCAGACUCCUACGGUAGGCAGCAGUGGGGAAUAGUGGACAAUGGGCGCAAGCCUGAUCCAGCCAUACCGCGUGGGUGAAGAAGGCCUUCGGGUUGUAAAGCCCUUUUGUUGGGAAAGAAAAGCAGCAGGUUAAUACCCCGCUGUUCUGACGGUACCCAAAGAAUAAGCACCGGCUAACUUCGCG